UGGCGACCAUAGCAAGAGUGAACCACCUGAUCCCUUCCCGAACUCAGAAGUGAAACCUCUUAGCGCUGAUGGUAGUGUGGGGUUACCCAU
Molecule: ribosomal RNA, 90 nt
Filed under: Acinetobacter sp. 25977_6
Lineage: Bacteria; Pseudomonadati; Pseudomonadota; Gammaproteobacteria; Moraxellales; Moraxellaceae
Source: RNAcentral